Molecule: long non-coding RNA, 516 nt
Organism: Talpa occidentalis (Iberian mole)
Lineage: Eukaryota; Metazoa; Chordata; Mammalia; Eulipotyphla; Talpidae
Exons: 3
Source: RefSeq, a predicted model, not a curated record
UACUUUUGAACCACCUGGAGAUCCUGUUAAUGUCCAGAUUCUGGUUGAGUAGGUCUGGGCUGGAACCUGAGAUUCUUCAUUUGAAGCAAGUACCCAGCUGAAUGACAAAUUUAAAAAGCAUGUUAAGGAACACCUGCCAUGUUUCACCAAGGGUCCUUGAUGCCUCUUAUGAACAAAUUCAAUCCCAGAAAAGCCUCACAAGCAAAGAAACAGCCAAGGGAAUGCAGCAGCCAUCUGGAUGCCUGACCAAAGCAGAAGAUAUGCCCAAUUGUAGUACAGAGAGAAGCUAUUUUAAGGUAUUUGACCAAGUUCAAAGAAGUAAACUGAUCCACCAGAAGAUAAGCAAACAGGAAAAAGGAGCUAUCUGUGAUAUAACUUGAAGCAGAAGGCGUUUACAACUAACUGUAUUAUAUUUUAUUGAGCAGUUCUGGGCACGUGAUAUUUAAUUCUCACCACAUCAGUACCAAGUGAGCCUGAAGUUCUUAUUUAGAUGAAAGAAAAUAUGAAAUAUAUGAA